RNAcentral lists this ribosomal RNA (220 nucleotides) under uncultured bacterium. Its description in RNAcentral is "partial 16S ribosomal RNA". It matches the Rfam family "Bacterial small subunit ribosomal RNA", at positions 28 to 239 of the family's 1533-position model. The record is from RNAcentral.
GAUGAACGCUGGCGGCGUGCCUAAUACAUGCAAGUCGAACGCACAGCGAAAGGUGCUUGCACCUUUCAAGUGAGUGGCGAACGGGUGAGUAACACGUGGAUAACCUACCUCAAGGUUGGGGAUAACAUUUGGAAACAGAUGCUAAUACCGAAUAAAACUUCGUAUCGCAUGAUACAAGGUUAAAGCGCUACGGCGUCACCUAGAGAUGGAUCCGCGGUGC